This 515-nucleotide ribosomal RNA is filed under the name uncultured bacterium. Its description in RNAcentral is "partial 16S ribosomal RNA". It matches the Rfam family "Bacterial small subunit ribosomal RNA", at positions 28 to 523 of the family's 1533-position model. The record is from RNAcentral.
GAUGAACGCUGGCGGCGUGCCUAAUACAUGCAAGUCGAGCGAAUGGAUUAAGAGCUUGCUCUUAUGAAGUUAGCGGCGGACGGGUGAGUAACACGUGAGCAACCUGCCCAUAAGACUGGGAUAACUCCUGGAAACCGGGGCUAAUACCGGAUAGCAUUUUGAACCGCAUGGUUCGAAAUUGAAAGGCGGCUUCGGCUGUCACUUAUGGAUGGACCCGCGUCGCAUUAGCUAGCUGGUGAGGUGACGGCUCACCAAGGCAACGAUGCGUAGCCGACCUGAGAGGGUGAUCGGCCACACUGGGACUGAGACACGGCCCAGACUCCUACGGGAGGCAGCAGUAGGGAAUCUUCCGCAAUGGACGAAAGUCUGACGGAGCAACGCCGCGUGAGUGAUGAAGGCUUUCGGGUCGUAAAACUCUGUUGUUAGGGAAGAACAAGUGCUAGUUGAAUAAGCUGGCACCUUGACGGUACCUAACCAGAAAGCCACGGCUAACUACGUGCCAGCCGCCGCAGUAA